GGGUGAUCGGCCACAUUGGAACUGAGACACGGUCCAAACUCCUACGGGAGGCAGCAGUGGGGAAUAUUGCACAAUGGGAGAAAGCCUGAUGCAGCAACGCCGCGUGAGUGAUGAAGGCCUUCGGGUCGUAAAACUCUGUCCUCAAGGAAGAUAAUGACGGUACUUGAGGAGGAAGCCCCGGCUAACUACGUGCCAGCAGCCGCGGU
RNAcentral lists this ribosomal RNA (206 nucleotides) under Clostridioides difficile. RNAcentral's name for it is "partial 16S ribosomal RNA". It matches the Rfam family "Bacterial small subunit ribosomal RNA", at positions 298 to 521 of the family's 1533-position model. The record is from RNAcentral. Lineage: Bacteria; Bacillati; Bacillota; Clostridia; Peptostreptococcales; Peptostreptococcaceae.